This 1136-nucleotide ribosomal RNA is filed under the name Arthrobacter luteolus. RNAcentral's name for it is "bacterial SSU rRNA". It matches the Rfam family "Bacterial small subunit ribosomal RNA", at positions 36 to 1171 of the family's 1533-position model. Lineage: Bacteria; Bacillati; Actinomycetota; Actinomycetes; Micrococcales; Micrococcaceae. The record is from RNAcentral.
GGGGUGGGACGCUGCUUGAUAAUGCAGUCGAACGAUGACAUUACUGUAGACUUGCACAUGUAGAUGAUUCAGUGGCGAACGGGUGAGUAACACGUGAGUAACCUGCCCUUGACUUCGGGAUAAGCCUGGGAAACCGGGUCUAAUACCGGAUACGACCUCCUGGCGCAUGCCAUGGUGGUGGAAAGCUUUAUCGGUUUUGGAUGGACUCGCGGCCUAUCAGCUUGUUGGUUGGGGUAAUGGCCCACCAAGGCGACAACGGGUAGCCGGCCUGAAAGGGUGACCGGCCACACUGGGACUGAAACACGGCCCAAACUCCUACGGGAGGCAGCAGUGGGGAAUAUUGCACAAUGGGCGAAAGCCUGAUGCAGCGACGCCGCGUGAGGGAUGACGGCCUUCGGGUUGUAAACCUCUUUCAGCAGGGAAAAAGCGAAAGUGACGGUACCUGCAAAAGAAGCGCCGGCUAACUACGUGCCAGCAGCCGCGGUAAUACGUAGGGCGCAAGCGUUAUCCGGAAUUAUUGGGCGUAAAGAGCUCGUAGGCGGUUUGUCGCGUCUGCUGUGAAAGCCCGGGGCUCAACCCCGGGUCUGCAGUGGGUACGGGCAGACUAGAGUGCAGUAGGGGAGACUGGAAUUCCUGGUGUAGCGGUGAAAUGCGCAGAUAUCAGGAGGAACACCGAUGGCGAAGGCAGGUCUCUGGGCUGUAACUGACGCUGAGGAGCGAAAGCAUGGGGAGCGAACAGGAUUAGAUACCCUGGUAGUCCAUGCCGUAAACGUUGGGCACUAGGUGUGGGGGACAUUCCACGUUUUCCGCGCCGUAGCUAACGCAUUAAGUGCCCCGCCUGGGGAGUACGGCCGCAAGGCUAAAACUCAAAGGAAUUGACGGGGGCCCGCACAAGCGGCGGAGCAUGCGGAUUAAUUCGAUGCAACGCGAAGAACCUUACCAAGGCUUGACAUGAACCGGUAAGACCUGGAAACAGGUCCCUCACUUGUGGCCGGUUUACAGGUGGUGCAUGGUUGUCGUCAGCUCGUGUCGUGAGAUGUUGGGUUAAGUCCCGCAACGAGCGCAACCCUCGUUCUAUGUUGCCAGCGGGUUAUGCCGGGAACUCAUAGGAGACUGCCGGGGUCAACUCGGAGGAA